UCAAUGCAUGCAUAUUUGAUUCUUUUAAACUGAACUAGCUUCUAGCCUCAUGCAUACUGAUGGCUCAGUGGAUGCUAAGAAGAGCACAGUUAUAGUCAAAUAGAUGUCAAAUAGAUGGACAGAAGGUUCCUUCCAAUCUAUGUGUUUGUGUGACAGUGUGCCCUCCAUACGUACCAAUACAAUAGCUCUUACGAUAUUUGUGCUCGCCAAAUGGCGGAGAUGGGUGGAGUCAAACAAGACAGGAUGCUCUCAAUUCUGAAUCAAUGGUCAGUUGUUCCGAUAAUUAAAGGCCAUUGGAUACUAUGCCCUGGUUACCGGGAGAGGUAUCAUAAUUAUCUUUCCCUGCAUUGUACAC
Molecule: long non-coding RNA, 355 nt
Organism: Halichondria panicea
Lineage: Eukaryota; Metazoa; Porifera; Demospongiae; Suberitida; Halichondriidae
Exons: 3
Source: RefSeq, a predicted model, not a curated record